RNAcentral lists this ribosomal RNA (229 nucleotides) under uncultured bacterium. RNAcentral describes it as "partial 16S ribosomal RNA". It matches the Rfam family "Bacterial small subunit ribosomal RNA", at positions 568 to 796 of the family's 1533-position model. The record is from RNAcentral.
UACGUAGGCGGAAUAUUAAGUCAGUGGUGAAAUCCUGCAGCUUAACUGUAGAAUUGCCAUUGAUACUGGUCUUCUUGAAUUUAGUUGAGGUAGGCGGAAUGUGUAAUGUAGCGGUGAAAUGCUUAGAUAUUACACAGAUCACCGAUUGCGAAGGCAGCUCACUAAACUAACAUUGACGCUAAGGUACGAAAGCGUGGGGAGCGAACAGGAUUAGAUACCCUGGUAGUCC